CCUACGGGGGGCAGCAGUAGGGAAUAUUGCUCAAUGGGGGAAACCCUGAAGCAGCAACGCCGCGUGGAGGAUGAAGGUUUUCGGAUUGUAAACUCCUUUUGUUAGAGAAGAUAAUGACGGUAUCUAACGAAUAAGCACCGGCUAACUCCGUGCCAGCAGCCGCGGUAAUACGGAGGGUGCAAGCGUUACUCGGAAUCACUGGGCGUAAAGAGCGCGUAGGCGGGAUAGCAAGUCAGAUGUGAAAUCCUAUGGCUUAACCAUAGAACUGCAUUUGAAACUGUUAUUCUAGAGUAUGGGAGAGGUAGGUGGAAUUCUUGGUGUAGGGGUGAAAUGCGUAGAGAUCAAGAGGAAUACUCAUUGCGAAGGCGACCUGCUAGAACAUAACUGACGCUGAUGCGCGAAAGCGUGGGGAGCAAACAGGAUUAGAUACCCUAGUAGUC
RNAcentral lists this ribosomal RNA (440 nucleotides) under uncultured bacterium. Its description in RNAcentral is "partial 16S ribosomal RNA". It matches the Rfam family "Bacterial small subunit ribosomal RNA", at positions 338 to 795 of the family's 1533-position model. The record is from RNAcentral.